RNAcentral lists this ribosomal RNA (426 nucleotides) under uncultured Chthoniobacter sp. Its description in RNAcentral is "bacterial SSU rRNA". It matches the Rfam family "Bacterial small subunit ribosomal RNA", at positions 355 to 774 of the family's 1533-position model. The record is from RNAcentral. Lineage: Bacteria; Pseudomonadati; Verrucomicrobiota; Spartobacteria; Chthoniobacterales; Chthoniobacteraceae.
UCGAGAAUUUUUCUCAAUGGGGGAAACCCUGAAGGAGCGACGCCGCGUGGAGGAUGAAGGUCUUCGGAUUGUAAACUCCUGUCAUUUGGGAACAAUUGUCAGUCAUUAACUGUGAUUGAUUUGAUAGUACCAGAAGAGGAAGAGACGGCUAACUCUGUGCCAGCAGCCGCGGUAAUACAGAGGUCUCAAGCGUUGUUCGGAUUCAUUGGGCGUAAAGGGUGCGUAGGUGGCGCCAUAAGUCAGGUGUGAAAUCUCGGGGCUCAACCCCGAAACUGCACUUGAUACUGUGGUGCUGGAGUACUGGAGAGGAGAUUGGAAUUUACGGUGUAGCAGUGAAAUGCGUAGAUAUCGUAAGGAAGACCAGUGGCGAAGGCGAAUCUCUGGACAGUUACUGACACUGAGGCACGAAGGCCAGGGGAGCAAACG